Molecule: ribosomal RNA, 293 nt
Filed under: uncultured bacterium
Lineage: Bacteria
Description: partial 16S ribosomal RNA
Rfam family: Bacterial small subunit ribosomal RNA
Source: RNAcentral
GUGUCAGCCGCCGCGGUAAUACGUAGGGGGCAAGCGUUGUCCGGAUUUAUUGGGCGUAAAGAGCUCGUAGGCGGUUCGACAAGCCGACGGUGAAAUCUCCACGCUCAACGUGGAGGGGUCCGUCGGAACUGUCGUGACUCGAGUCCGGUAGGGGAGUGUGGAAUUCCCGGUGUAGCGGUGAAAUGCGCAGAGAUCGGGAGGAACACCCGUAGCGAAGGCGGCACUCUGGGCCGGUACUGACGCUGAGGAGCGAAAGCGUGGGGAGCAAACAGGAUUAGAAACCCCCGUAGUCC